AAGUCGUAACAAGGUUUCCGUAGGUGAACCUGCGGAAGGAUCAUUAUCGAGUUUUGAAACGGGUUGUAGCUGGCCUUCUUUGGCACCGUGCACGCCCUGCUCAUCCGCUCUACACCUGUGCACUUACUGUAGGUUUCAGACGCGAUGCGAGUUUAGGCUCGCGGAGCUUAUGGGGCUUACGUUUCAACCACAAACGCUUCAGUAUCAGAAUGUGUAUCGCGAUGUAACGCAUCUAAAUACAACUUUCAGCAACGGAUCUCUUGGCUCUC
RNAcentral lists this unclassified non-coding RNA (269 nucleotides) under Yuchengia narymica. RNAcentral's name for it is "partial internal transcribed spacer region". The stretch from base 1 to 46 matches the Rfam family "Eukaryotic small subunit ribosomal RNA", at positions 1786 to 1831 of the family's 1831-position model. The record is from RNAcentral. RNAcentral also lists the same sequence under 1 other name. Lineage: Eukaryota; Fungi; Basidiomycota; Agaricomycetes; Polyporales; Polyporaceae.